GAUUAAAUGGCUGAAGUAUAAGGUAAUAGAUUGUAAAUUUAUUUAUGAGAAUUUUUCUCUUUAAUCA
RNAcentral lists this transfer RNA (67 nucleotides) under Platypalpus cursitans. RNAcentral describes it as "tRNA-Tyr". It matches the Rfam family "tRNA". Rfam says of the family: Transfer RNA (tRNA) molecules are approximately 80 nucleotides in length. Their secondary structure includes four short double-helical elements and three loops (D, anti-codon, and T loops). Lineage: Eukaryota; Metazoa; Arthropoda; Insecta; Diptera; Hybotidae. The record is from RNAcentral.